UAGGGAAUCUUCGGCAAUGGACGAAAGUCUGACCGAGCAACGCCGCGUGAGUGAAGAAGGUUUUCGGAUCGUAAAACUCUGUUGUUAGAGAAGAACAAGGACGUUAGUAACUGAACGUCCCCUGACGGUAUCUAACCAGAAAGCCACGGCUAACUACGUGCCAGCAGCCGCGGUAAUACGUAGGUGGCAAGCGUUGUCCGGAUUUAUUGGGCGUAAAGCGAGCGCAGGCGGUUUCUUAAGUCUGAUGUGAAAGCCCCCGGCUCAACCGGGGAGGGUCAUUGGAAACUGGGAGACGUGAGGGCAGAAGAGGAGAGUGGAAUUCCAUGUGUAGCGGUGAAAUGCGUAGAUAUAUGGAGGAACACCAGUGGCGAAGGCGGCUCUCUGGUCUGUAACUAACGCUGAGGCUCGAAAGCGUGGGGAGCAAACAGG
This 429-nucleotide ribosomal RNA is filed under the name Chloroflexota bacterium. RNAcentral's name for it is "Chloroflexi bacterium partial 16S ribosomal RNA". It matches the Rfam family "Bacterial small subunit ribosomal RNA", at positions 355 to 776 of the family's 1533-position model. The record is from RNAcentral. Lineage: Bacteria; Bacillati; Chloroflexota.